GUCCCCAUCGUCUAGAGCCCCAGGACCCCGGGUUCUCAGUCCGGUAACAGGGGUUCAAAUCCCCUUGGGGAUA
Molecule: transfer RNA, 73 nt
Filed under: Pirellulaceae bacterium
Lineage: Bacteria; Pseudomonadati; Planctomycetota; Planctomycetia; Pirellulales; Pirellulaceae
Rfam family: tRNA
About the family: Transfer RNA (tRNA) molecules are approximately 80 nucleotides in length. Their secondary structure includes four short double-helical elements and three loops (D, anti-codon, and T loops).
Source: Rfam by way of RNAcentral